RNAcentral lists this ribosomal RNA (492 nucleotides) under uncultured bacterium. RNAcentral describes it as "partial 16S ribosomal RNA". It matches the Rfam family "Bacterial small subunit ribosomal RNA", at positions 29 to 507 of the family's 1533-position model. The record is from RNAcentral.
AGUGAACGCUGGCGGGAGGAAGAACACAGGCAAGUCGAACGGCAGCACAGUAAGAGCUUGCUCUUACGGGUGGCGAGUGGCGGACGGGUGAGGAAUACAUCGGAAUCUACUUUUUCGUGGGGGAUAACGUAGGGAAACUUACGCUAAUACCGCAUGCGAACUACGGGUGAAAGCAGGGGAUCUUCGGACCUUGCGCGAUUGAAUGAGCCGAUGUCGGAUUAGCUAGUUGGCGGGGUAAAGGCACACCAAGGCGACGAUCCGUAGCUGGUCUGAGAGGAUGAUCAGCCACACUGGAACUGAGACACGGUCCAGACUCCUACGGGAGGCAGCAGUGGGGAAUAUUGGACAAUGGGCGCAAGCCUGAUCCAGCCAUACCGCGUGGGUGAAGAAGGCCUUCGGGUUGUAAAGCCCUUUUGUUGGGAAAGAAAAGCAGCAGGUUAAUACCCCGCUGUUCUGACGGUACCCAAAGAAUAAGCACCGGCUAACUUCGUG